This 440-nucleotide ribosomal RNA is filed under the name uncultured bacterium. RNAcentral describes it as "partial 16S ribosomal RNA". It matches the Rfam family "Bacterial small subunit ribosomal RNA", at positions 338 to 795 of the family's 1533-position model. The record is from RNAcentral.
CCUACGGGGGGCUGCAGUAGGGAAUAUUGCUCAAUGGGGGAAACCCUGAAGCAGCAACGCCGCGUGGAGGAUGAAGGUUUUCGGAUUGUAAACUCCUUUUGUUAGAGAAGAGAAUGACGGUAUCUAACGAAUAAGCACCGGCUAACUCCGUGCCAGCAGCCGCGGUAAUACGGAGGGUGCAAGCGUUACUCGGAAUCACUGGGCGUAAGGAGCGCGUAGGCGGGAUAGCAAGUCAGAUGUGAAAUCCUCUGGCUUAACCAUAGAACUGCAUUUGAAACUGUUAUUCUAGAGUAUGGGAGAGGUAGGUGGAAUUCUUGGUGUAGGGGUCAAAUCCGUAGAGAUCAAGAGGAAUACUCAUUGCGAAGGCGACCUGCUAGAACAUAACUGACGCUGAUGCGCGAAAGCGUGGGGAGCAAACAGGAUUAGAUACCCGAGUAGUC